GUUUGUUCUCUAGAAAGGAUUUGAAAAGAAUAAAGGCUUGACGGGGACGGUGUAGAGGCACUUCAUGACCAGCUCCUGCUACUGUUACUAAUUGAUAUUAACAUGAGAAUGCUCCAAUUUUUCACCUUGCCAUGAUCGUACCAAGGGUACCAGUUUGUGAUGGUUGCUAGCUUCAGUGCAUCUACAGAGUAUCGGGUAGCGGUAACAGGAACAACAGCAUCUGUAUCCCCACUGCAUAUUGUGUAGGGAGAGGGAGAUUGAUCAAGCAAUCUUUAUUUGUAAUCAAGACUUUACUACAUCUACACUUCUCUUAAAUGUAAUCAGUCAUUUCGUACAAGGGAACAUCACAAAGUUUAAUACAACA
Capsella rubella is the source of this 364-nucleotide long non-coding RNA. RefSeq lists it as uncharacterized. The transcript is spliced from 2 exons. NCBI's taxonomy places the organism in Eukaryota, Viridiplantae, Streptophyta, Magnoliopsida, Brassicales, Brassicaceae. The record is from RefSeq and is a predicted model, not a curated record.